UGCUCACUUCGGCAACAGUAUACUAAAAUUGGAACGAUACAGAGAAGAUUAGCAUGGCCCCUGCACAAGGAUGACAUGCUUUUAAAAUUUUUUUUU
Molecule: small nuclear RNA, 96 nt
Organism: Macaca fascicularis (crab-eating macaque)
Lineage: Eukaryota; Metazoa; Chordata; Mammalia; Primates; Cercopithecidae
Source: Ensembl